Molecule: ribosomal RNA, 481 nt
Filed under: uncultured bacterium
Lineage: Bacteria
Description: partial 16S ribosomal RNA
Rfam family: Bacterial small subunit ribosomal RNA
Source: RNAcentral
GAUGAACGCUGGCGGCGUGCUUAACACAUGCAAGUCGAACGAAGCAUUUAAGACAGAUUACUUCGGUUUGAAGUCUUUUAUGACUGAGUGGCGGACGGGUGAGUAACGCGUGGGUAACCUGCCUCAUACAGGGGGAUAGCAGCUGGAAACGGCUGGUAAUACCGCAUAAGCGCACAGUACCACAUGGUACAGUGUGAAAAACUCCGGUGGUAUGAGAUGGACCCGCGUCUGAUUAGCUUGUUGGCGGGGUAACGGCCCACCAAGGCGACGAUCAGUAGCCGACCUGAGAGGGUGACCGGCCACAUUGGGACUGAGACACGGCCCAGACCCCUACGGGAGGCAGCAGUGGGGAAUAUUGCACAAUGGAGGAAACUCUGAUGCAGCGACGCCGCGUGAGUGAAGAAGUAGUUCGCUAUGUAAAGCUCUAUCAGCAGGGAAGAUAGUGACGGUACCUGACUAAGAAGCUCCGGCUAAAUACGUG